CUGAUUUUCAAUAUUCAUAACCUACAGCUCGAUUUGUCAUUGAAAUUCUUAUAAAAUUUUUGCAACCCAGUUGCAUUUUCCUAAAGUGGAAAAUAUUUCACAAACUUUAUGCCCUACAGCCAUAUGGCAGUAAAAUGCUCAUACGUCAUGUUGGCCAAGCGUUGAAGCUGUUUCUGCUGUCGUUGUUGUGGACGUUUAGUUACCCGCAGCAUAAUUGCAGCAAAGCAGUCAAAAUAGAGCAGACAAGGGAAAAAACAAAGAAAGGAAAUGCAGAGGCGCAAAGAGAAGCAAUGACAUUGCUUUAAGAAAAGCAGCAACAACUUAUGAGAAGGGAAAAAAGCAAGGUAAAAAAUUAUCGCACUGCGUGACUGAGACGCAGUGAAGCAGACAAAACAAACUGCGCAGACAACGAGCAACUCAACAUACUGCAGCUCAGCUGGAUAAACAGACGGGUGAAGAAAGAGUGAGUAAGAAAGAGAGGGAAAGACUGCCACACAUUGUGGCAAGUAUAUCCUUUUUACGGAGCACUGUAGUCAAGUCAUUUGUCUGCCUGAAUGCGAAGCCGUCUCAUCAGUGCGCCAACAUAAAGAAGGCAAAAGAAGAUGUGUAACAAACAAACUCAAAACCCAAACCAAAAGCAAAAGCAAGAAAAAAAGGGUAAGAACGCAUAGUUAUUUAUCAUGUUAUAAGUUAUGAUGUCAGCAUGCUGGCAUUAUGUGACUGAUAAGCGCCAGAAAAUGAGCACAAACACAUUCACACACACACAUACACUCACACAUGUGAAUGUCUUAAAUAACAUAAAUGGAAUGAAAAAUCGAGGUGUGAAAAAGUU
Drosophila albomicans is the source of this 832-nucleotide long non-coding RNA. RefSeq lists it as uncharacterized. The transcript has 3 exons. The record is from RefSeq and is a predicted model, not a curated record. NCBI's taxonomy places the organism in Eukaryota, Metazoa, Arthropoda, Insecta, Diptera, Drosophilidae.